GCACAAUGUUGCCCAUAUUAAUCCUUUUUGAUAGACACUUGAGUCAGAUUUUCUAUUUUUAUAUUUGAUGAUAAGAUUUAGUUCUCUGUUAGCUGUAAUUCUUCAAGGGAUUAUAGAAUAGACUAAUUUAAUUAGUCCUUUGCUCGUUUCUUUUCUUCACAACUAUAUUUUAAUUCCAUUAUUGCCUCCAUGUUAGGCAAAGGUUUAGUUCCUCUCUCCUCUUUGUGACAUAGUCCUUUCUUUCUUCCCAUUUCCUCGAGUUCUUAUGGGCUAAGAGAGGGAAAUAAAUUCAGCAGAAUGCAGCAAAUAAUAUAAUGGAUGAAGUAAUCAAUUGAUCUUUCCCCAUUAUCGAAUCGUUUCUGAUUUUGUAGUGGGACGAAGGAAAUAUGGAGAAGAAAAGUGCUAUAUUGAUGAACAGGUAUGAGCUAGGGCGAUUGCUUGGACAAGGGACUUUCGCCAAGGUAUACCAUGCGCGAAAUCUCCAGUCUGGCCAAAAUGUUGCCAUCAAGAUUAUCGAUAAAGAGAAGGUCCUAAGGGGUGGUUUGAUAGAUCAAAUCAAGAGAGAAAUCUCUGUUAUGAGGCUUGUUAGACAUCCCAAUAUUGUUCAGCUCUAUGAGGUCAUGGCAAGCAAGACCAAGAUCUAUUUUGCCAUGGAAUACGUGACAGGUGGUGAGCUUUUCAGCAAGGUUGCCAAGGGGAAGCUCAAGGAAGACGUUGCUAGAAAGUAUUUCCAACAAUUGAUUGGAGCAGUUGAUUUUUGCCAUAGCCGAGGUGUCUAUCAUCGAGAUAUCAAGCCUGAAAAUCUCCUCCUUGAUGAAAAUGGUAAUCUGAAGAUUUCUGAUUUUGGAUUGACUGCUUUGUGGGAUUCAAGAAAGCAAGAUGGGCUUCUCCAUACAGCUUGUGGAACUCCUGCUUAUGUUGCUCCAGAAGUCAUUACCAAGAACGGCUAUGAUGGGGCUAAGUCUGAUAUAUGGUCUUGUGGGGUUGUUCUGUUCGUUCUUUUGGCUGGCUAUCUUCCAUUUAAUGACCCAAAUCUCAUGGAACUUUACAGGAAGAUCAUCAAAGGAGAAUUCAAGUGCCCUAACUGGAUUAACUCAGAGGCUCGGAAGCUUCUUUCGAGGAUUCUUCACCCCAAUCCUAGCUCAAGAAUCUCCAUUGAUAAGAUAAUGAGCAAUUCUUGGUUUAAGAAGGGUUACAAACAGAUUGAAACCCCACCAUCACCGCAAGGUCAAGCCAGAUGCACGUUGCUUAAGGAUGUUCAUGAAGCCUUCGACUCAUCGUUACCAUCAGAAGGCGUAAACAAUUCACAGAAAGAAGUAGCAGAAGAUGCAAGAAGCCCUGUGAAACCAACUAAUUACAAUGCCUUUAAUAUAAUCUCCCUGUCAAAAGGAUUUGAUUUAUCAGGCUUGUUUGAGAAAGAUAGUAAUCAACGGCUAGAGGCAAGAUUCACCAGCAAAGAACCAGCAUCAACGAUCGUGUCGAAAUUCCAAGAGAUAGCAAUGAUGGAGAGCUUCAAUUUUAACAAGAAAGAUGGAACAGUGAAGUUGCAGGGAUGCAAGGAAGGAAGAAAGGGGCAACUUGAAAUAGAUGCAGAAAUAUUUGAAGUUACACCAUCUUUUUUUGUGGUUGAGUUGAAUAAAGCAUCAGGAGAUACGUUGGAGUAUAAGAAUUUCUGUAACCAGGAAUUAAGACGUUCUCUUAAAGAUAUAGUUUGGGCAUGGCAAGGGAAUGAGCAGCAGCAAGUAUAACCUAUUAGCCACCCUUAAUUUGGGUCUUUUCUUUGGAUUGGAUAUGAUUUUUCUAUAAUUACCUCUAUCUGAAAUGAGUAUAUGUUUGUACUUUGCUGCUUCAGAACUUUCGCCUUUUCAGUUUUUGUUCUUCUCUUUUCCCUUUCAUUUGUUCUUUGAGACUAACAAUUUUAAUGCAAAUGGAUGAAAGUUUCACCAACCA
Molecule: unclassified non-coding RNA, 1950 nt
Filed under: Hevea brasiliensis (rubber tree)
Lineage: Eukaryota; Viridiplantae; Streptophyta; Magnoliopsida; Malpighiales; Euphorbiaceae
Source: RNAcentral